RNAcentral lists this ribosomal RNA (301 nucleotides) under uncultured bacterium. Its description in RNAcentral is "partial 16S ribosomal RNA". It matches the Rfam family "Bacterial small subunit ribosomal RNA", at positions 509 to 807 of the family's 1533-position model. The record is from RNAcentral.
CAGCAGCCGCGGUAAGACAGAGGAUGCAAGCGUUAUCCAGAAUGAUUGGGUGUAAAGCGUCUGUAGGUGGCUUUUCAAGCCCGCCGUCAAAUCCUAGGGCUCAACCCUGGACAGGCAGUGGAAACUACCAAGCUGGAGUACGGUAGGGGUAGAGGGAAUUUCCGGUGGAGUGGUAAAAUGCGUUGAGAUCGGAAAGAACACCAAUGGCGAAAGCACUCUGCUGGGCCGACACUGACACUGAGAGACGAAAGCUAGGGGAGCAAAUGGGAUUAGAGACCCCGGUAGUCCCUGUCUCUUAUAC